Bos taurus (domestic cattle) is the source of this 1454-nucleotide long non-coding RNA. The record is from Ensembl. NCBI's taxonomy places the organism in Eukaryota, Metazoa, Chordata, Mammalia, Artiodactyla, Bovidae.
GUUCACGUUUCUCUCCUCCCGCGAGAUCAGGUCUGAGGCCCCGGGUAGUCUCGAGGCCGGGUUCUCGAGGCCCCGGGUGUUCUCUAGGUACCCGGAUGUUCUCGAGGGCCCUGGAUGUUCUCAGCGCCCAGAGGCAGGAAGUGGAUCUGCUGCUAAGUAGCUUCAGUGGUGUCCGACUCUGUGCGACCCCAUAGACGGCAGCCCACCAGGCUCCCCCGUCUCUGGGAUUCUCCAGAUUGAGUAAGCUUCAAAUCCAUAAAGACUGGGAUCAGCCUCUGCUCUGGGAUGUACUGGCCCAUUUUGAAAAUGAGAAAACUGAGCCUCGAAGAGAUAAAAGUGACUUGACCUCAAGAAAACUGAUCAGCUCUGAUCACGUGUUUUCCUGCAUUGAAGCAUUUUUUCAUCCUGGAACCACACACCACUGGGGCACUGGAGACAAGAAGCAGUGAUGCUUGCCUAAGCUCCUGAGUGCAUCCAAGGACCAGCGGAUGGACGUUGCAGAGAGGCCGAUUACAAUUCAGGGCAAGUGAGACCUUGGUCGUAACCAGAGCUUUCUCCAAAUGGAACAAUCUUGAGGGCGGACAAAGAGGAGUUGAGUGCCUCCGGCAGACGAUUGAACUUAAUAGGCAUUAAGAUCCGUUCUGACUCUCCCUUUCAGCUCUGAGAUCCCAUCGCUUCCAUGCCUUGUUCCCAAAGGGAAUUAAGAGCUUUCCUGUGUUUGACUUAAAAGUUCCUCUUUUAAACAAGAUGCCUUUUAAGGUCCCCUUUGAUCAGUUUUCAUGAUGCUGUCUGUACAGUAUUUUGUCUUGGCUGCCUCCGAAGUAGAAGACAGCACAGGACAUAGCUUAAAACCCCCGCUCAUUGGCUGGGUACCCUGGACAAGUGAUGGAAGCUCACUGAACCUCAGUGAAGCGCAGAAACACAUUUCCUAUCACAGAGAUUGUUGUGAGGGUUAAAUAUCAUGCUUCUGUGAAAACCGAGUUUCCCUGGUGGCUCAGCGGUAAAGACUCUGCCUGCAUGCAGGAGCUGCAAAAGACGCGGGUUUGAUCCCUGGGUGGGGAAGAUCCCCUGAGGAGGAAAUGGCAACCCACUCCAGUAUUCUCGCCUGGAGAAUCCCAUGGACAGAGGAACCUGGCGGGCUACGGUCCAUGGGGUUGCAAACAGUCGGAAGUGACUGAAGCGGCUGAGCACCAACACGAGCGUGUGAAGCCAGCACUGGAGCUGGCCCAAACCAGGAAUUUAAUAAACACUUGUUGAGAAAUAAGAACGGAAGGAGUUACUUUCCAGUGGGUCUUCCAACUUGAGCAUGCAUCUGAAUCCCCUGAAGGCUCACCCCGAGAUUCUGACGUUUGGGGUGACGUCCUAGGAUUUGCAUUUCCGACCAGGUGAUGAGAAUGAUGGCGUGGGACCACAUGUUAAGAACUUAGACAGGUGAAGGACAAUUACCUGUAAAG